This 468-nucleotide ribosomal RNA is filed under the name uncultured bacterium. RNAcentral's name for it is "partial 16S ribosomal RNA". It matches the Rfam family "Bacterial small subunit ribosomal RNA", at positions 28 to 507 of the family's 1533-position model. The record is from RNAcentral.
GACGAACGCUGGCGGCGUGCUUAACACAUGCAAGUCGAACGGAAAGGCCCUGCUUUUGUGGGGUGCUCGAGUGGCGAACGGGUGAGUAACACGUGAGUAACCUGCCCUUGACUUUGGGAUAACUUCAGGAAACUGGGGCUAAUACCGGAUAGGAGCUCCUGCUGCAUGGUGGGGGUUGGAAAGUUUCGGCGGUUGGGGAUGGACUCGCGGCUUAUCAGCUUGUUGGUGGGGUAGUGGCUUACCAAGGCUUUGACGGGUAGCCGGCCUGAGAGGGUGACCGGCCACAUUGGGACUGAGAUACGGCCCAGACUCCUACGGGAGGCAGAAGUGGGGAAUAUUGCACGAUGGGCGGAAGCCUGAUGCAGCAACGCCGCGUGCGGGAUGACGGCCUUCGGGUUGUAACCCGCUUUCGCCUGUGACGAAGCGUGAGUGACGGUAAUGGGUAAAGAAGCACCGGCUAACUACGUG